GCCGGGCAUGGUGGCACUCGCUUGAGUCCCAGCUAUCUGGAAAGCUGAAGCAGGAGGAUUGCUUGAGUCCAGGAAUUCUGGGCUGUAGUGUUAUGUGGAUGGGAUAUCUGUACUAAGUUCUGCAUCAAUAGGGUGACGGCCCAGAAGCCCAGAAGCAGCAGGUUUCCUGAGGAGGGGAGAACCAGGUUGAAACGGAGCAGAGCAAAACUCCCUUGCUGGUAAAUAAUAGUGGGAUUGCACCUGUGAAUAGCCACCACACCCCAGCCUGGGCAACAGGCAACAU
RNAcentral lists this signal recognition particle RNA (283 nucleotides) under Microcebus murinus (gray mouse lemur). Its description in RNAcentral is "Metazoan signal recognition particle RNA (ENSMICG00000034288.2)". It matches the Rfam family "Metazoan signal recognition particle RNA". Rfam says of the family: The signal recognition particle (SRP) is a universally conserved ribonucleoprotein. It is involved in the co-translational targeting of proteins to membranes. Lineage: Eukaryota; Metazoa; Chordata; Mammalia; Primates; Cheirogaleidae. The record is from Rfam by way of RNAcentral.